Molecule: transfer RNA, 64 nt
Filed under: Peirates atromaculatus
Lineage: Eukaryota; Metazoa; Arthropoda; Insecta; Hemiptera; Reduviidae
Description: tRNA-Ala
Rfam family: tRNA
About the family: Transfer RNA (tRNA) molecules are approximately 80 nucleotides in length. Their secondary structure includes four short double-helical elements and three loops (D, anti-codon, and T loops).
Source: RNAcentral
GGGGUCGUAGUUAAAAAUAACAUUUAAUUUGCAAUUAAAAAGUGCUUCCAUAAAGCCUUCCUCA